CAAUCCAGGAAUCCAGAAAAAAAUCAAGGAAUCCACCUGGAGAACGAGGCUGCUCUGCAGUAGGAAGGAUUCUGCUGUGCUGGGGCCCGGAGCCGAUGGCAGAGAAUGUCCACGACUAACAACAUAGCUCAGGCCAGGAAGCUCGUGGAGCAGCUCCGCAUCGAGGCCGGGAUCGAGAGGAUCAAGGUCUCCAAAGCAUCCUCGGAGCUGAUGAAUUACUGUGAGCAGCAUGCUCGGAAUGAUCCUCUCCUGGUGGGAGUUCCUGCUUCUGAGAAUCCCUUUAAGGACAAAAAGCCCUGUAUCAUCCUAUAGCUGUGGAUCCUUCUGGAAGGAAAUCCCCAUCCAGCCUCUGGAUCCAGGCUCCUCCACAGCUCCACCUGCACCCAGGGAUCUGAUUCUUCCUCUGUGUUCGAGACCAGAGCUUGGUGCUAUCCUUGGAGCCGGGGCUGGAGCCGGGAAUUCUUCCUCCUCCUCCUCCUCCUCCUCCUUCUCCUCCUCCUCAGGGGCUCCAACCCCUCCAUCCCGGGAGGAUCCCGUGGGAUGGGAAUCCCGAGGGAUGCUGGGUCAGAUAUUUUGGGGUCUGGGUGCUUUGGGGUCGCUCUGCCUCCCCCGUGCCGGGGUCCUGCCCGAGCCAAAGCCACGCUGGAGCCGGGAAAUGGGAAAAGGGAAAAGGAUCUGGGAAAUGGGAAAU
Molecule: RNA transcript, 691 nt
Organism: Melozone crissalis (California towhee)
Lineage: Eukaryota; Metazoa; Chordata; Aves; Passeriformes; Passerellidae
Gene: GNG7
Gene name: G protein subunit gamma 7
Exons: 4
Source: RefSeq, a predicted model, not a curated record